UGAGUAGGGGGCCUGCAGUGUGCUGUGAUGCCUGGGAAGGGGAUUCUAAGCCAUUUCCCAUCAGCCAUUUACUAAGUAGCCUGGGGAUCUUGUUAAAAUGCAGAUCCUGAUAGAUUAGGGCUGGGGUGCUGCCCAAGAUUCUACAUUUCUAAGAGUCCCUGGAUGACGGUGGCAUUCACAGACCACAGCUUCUAUGUGAGGGAGAGCAGUUGGGUUUCUGUCUGCCUGCCGCACCUGAUCAGUGGUUGGUGCCUGAAUGUGUGGCAGCCAGAAUUUUACUUGGGGAGACGCUCGGCUCCUAGCACCCUCUGUGGUAGGGGUUUUCCAGAGUGUGGGCAUUACCCCAACUGUCUCUGCAGACGGCUUCCUGCAUGUUUCCCACAAGUGCUCUGAUGGCUGAAUUGGCAAGUCUGUGGUGCUGCUCUUUGGGGCCACCUCGUUCUUUGCCUUUCCCUCCCCUUAGCGAUGUGUCCCAUCCGUUGCCCACAGUCAAGUCAGUCCACACGUUUAGGCUAAGGUGGGCGUGACCGAGUGGCCUUCCCCCGGGAAGACCAGUGUCGUAACUGGAAUUAAGUUGUGGAACAUAAGAGUCAAGGCUCAUGUCUGCUGUGAGCUGGAGUUGAGGGAAUGUUUGGGGAUCCCACCUGGUAUCAGUAAGGGAACCAUGGCGACGGCUAGCCUUGCCCACAUGAGGCAUCUGCUUUGUCAGGCCUUCUCAGUAGUGGAGAAGGGAGGAAGGAGAAUGCAGCUCUUUCAGCGCUGUCUAGCAGUGCCCAAGAGCCGUGAUUGGGCACCUCACUUAACGUCUAACUUCAAAUUCACUCUUGGGCAUUCCUGUCUUCCUCUCCAAUCUUGAAUGGAUGUUGGCUCCGAUAAUGUCAUCCUGAAGUUUCUUUGUCCACACAGCCCUGGCUGGUUGUUAAUAAGCUGUUAAUGCAGCCUUGCACUCAGGAAGCCCUGAUGUUUAAAGGAACUGUGUCUUUGUUCUUCCUCUCUUCCCUCUUUCCCUUAGUCCCACUUUAUCUCUUCUUUCUCUUCCUCUCCCUCCUCCCUUUCCCCUCUCCCUCCUCCUCUUCCCCUUUCCCUCCUGCUCUCCCCCUUUCUGUCCUCCUCCUCUCCCCCUUUUUCUCCUCCUCCUCUAAGAAACCCAGUCUUAAUUCCACACAAUGCAUGCACAUGCACUAGCUUCUCUGCUUGAGUGAGCUGGUGUGAUUAGGUUUUCUAAACAUGCACACUGGCCUUGCUACUUGUCCUUUUAUUCCCUUCCCACAGAUCAUAAACCAAGAAUUAUUUUUAUUUGUAUUAUUUUGAUUUUUUUAAAGUGAAAUGUUAACUUUUCCUCUUUGAAAUAAAUUCCCAUUUGGAACAUC
RNAcentral lists this non-coding RNA (1370 nucleotides) under Pongo abelii (Sumatran orangutan). The record is from RNAcentral. Lineage: Eukaryota; Metazoa; Chordata; Mammalia; Primates; Hominidae.